UGGGGAAUAUUGGACAAUGGGGGAAACCCUGAUCCAGCAAUGCCGCGUGAGUGAAGAAGGCCUUAGGGUUGUAAAGCUCUUUCAGUAGGGAAGAUAAUGACGGUACCUACAGAAGUAGCCCCGGCUAACUCCGUGCCAGCAGCCGCGGUAAGACGGAGGGGGCUAGCGUUGUUCGGAAUUACUGGGCGUAAAGGGCGCGUAGGCGGCAAAUCAAGUUAGGCGUGAAAUCCCUGGGCUUAACCCAGGAACUGCGUUUAAUACUGAUUAGCUAGAGAUUGGUAGAGGAAAGUGGAAUUCCUAGUGUAGAGGUGAAAUUCGUAGAUAUUAGGAAGAACACCAGAGGCGAAGGCGGCUUUCUGGGCCAAUACUGACGCUGAGGCGCGAAAGCGUGGGGAGCAAACAG
Molecule: ribosomal RNA, 403 nt
Filed under: uncultured bacterium
Lineage: Bacteria
Description: bacterial SSU rRNA
Rfam family: Bacterial small subunit ribosomal RNA
Source: RNAcentral